Molecule: transfer RNA, 72 nt
Organism: Aspergillus ruber CBS 135680
Lineage: Eukaryota; Fungi; Ascomycota; Eurotiomycetes; Eurotiales; Aspergillaceae
Rfam family: tRNA
About the family: Transfer RNA (tRNA) molecules are approximately 80 nucleotides in length.
Source: Rfam
GUCAAAGUAGUUUAACAGGUAAAACGGUAAUUUCAUGAGUUAUGGAUGAGAAUUCGAGUUUCUCCUUUGACU